This 441-nucleotide ribosomal RNA is filed under the name uncultured bacterium. Its description in RNAcentral is "partial 16S ribosomal RNA". It matches the Rfam family "Bacterial small subunit ribosomal RNA", at positions 338 to 795 of the family's 1533-position model. The record is from RNAcentral.
CCUACGGGAGGCAGCAGUGGGGAAUAUUGCACAAUGGGGGAAACCCUGAUGCAGCGACGCCGCGUGAGUGAAGAAGUAAUUCGUUAUGUAAAGCUCUAUCAGCAGGAACGAGACAAGACGGUACCUGACUAAGAAGCCCCGGCUAACUACGUGCCAGCAGCCGCGGUAAUACGUAGGGGGCAAGCGUUAUCCGGAAUCACUGGGUGUAAAGGGAGCGUAGACGGCUGUGCAAGCCUGAAGUGAAAGGCGGGGGCCCAACCCCUGGACUGCUUUGGGAACUGUACGGCUGGAGUGCAGGAGAGGUAAGUGGAAUUCCUAGUGUAGCGGUGAAAUGCGUAGAUAUUAGGAGGAACACCAGUGGCGAAGGCGGCUUACUGGACUGUAACUGACGUUGAGGCUCGAAAGCGUGGGGAGCAAACAGGAUUAGAUACCCGGGUAGUC